This 460-nucleotide ribosomal RNA is filed under the name uncultured bacterium. RNAcentral describes it as "partial 16S ribosomal RNA". It matches the Rfam family "Bacterial small subunit ribosomal RNA", at positions 338 to 795 of the family's 1533-position model. The record is from RNAcentral.
GCUACGGGGGGCAGCAGGGAGGAAUAUUGGGCAAGGGACGAGAGUCGGAACCAGCCAAGUAGCGGGAAGGAUGACGGCCCUAUGGGGUGUAAACUUCUUUUAUAAAGGAAUAAAACGAGGCACGUGUGCCUUUUUGCAUGUACCUUAUGAAUAAGGAUCGGCUAACUCCGUGCCAGCAGCCGCGGUAAUACGGAGGAUCCGAGCGUUAUCCGGAUUUAUUGGGUUUACAGGGAGCGUAGAUGGGUUGUUACGUCAGUUGUGAAAGUUUGCGGCUCAACCGUAAAAUUGCAAUUGAUACUGGCAGUCUUGAGUACAGUUGAGGUAGGCGGACUUCGUGGUGUAGCGGUGAAAUGCUUAGAUAUCACGAAGAACCCCGAUUGCGAAGGCAGCUUACUAAACUGUGACUGACAUUGAUGCUCGAAAGUGUGGGUAUCAAACAGGAUUAGAUACCCCUGUAGUC